This 301-nucleotide ribosomal RNA is filed under the name uncultured bacterium. RNAcentral describes it as "partial 16S ribosomal RNA". It matches the Rfam family "Bacterial small subunit ribosomal RNA", at positions 509 to 808 of the family's 1533-position model. The record is from RNAcentral.
CAGCGCCGCGGGAAAACGGAGGGGGCUAGCGUUGUGCGGAAUUACUGGGCGUAAAGCGCACGUAGGCGGCUUGGUAAGUUAGAGGUGAAAGCCUGGAGCUCAACUCCAGAAUUGCCUUUAAGACUGCCGAGCUAGCAGGUGAGAGAGGUAAGUGGAAUUCCGAGUGUAGAGGUGAAAUUCGUAGAUAUUCGGAAGAACACCAGUGGCGAAGGCGGCUUACUGGCUCAUACUGGACGCUGAGAUGCGAAAGCGUGGGGAGCAAACAGGAUUAGAUACCCCUGUAGUCCCUGUCUCUUAUACA